This 432-nucleotide ribosomal RNA is filed under the name uncultured bacterium. RNAcentral's name for it is "partial 16S ribosomal RNA". It matches the Rfam family "Bacterial small subunit ribosomal RNA", at positions 29 to 507 of the family's 1533-position model. The record is from RNAcentral.
AACGAACGCUGGCGGCAUGCCUAACACAUGCAAGUCGAACGAGACCUUCGGGUCUAGUGGCGCACGGGUGCGUAACGCGUGGGAACCUGCCCUUAGGUUCGGAAUAACUCCCCGAAAGGGGUGCUAAACCGGAUAAUGUCUUCGGACCAAAGAUUUAUCGCCUUUGGAUGGGCCCGCGUUGGAUUAGCUAGUUGGUAGGGUAAAAGCCUACCAAGGCGACGAUCCAUAGCUGGUCUGAGAGGAUGAUCAGCCACACUGGGACUGAGACACGGCCCAGACUCCUACGGGAGGCAGCAGUGGGGAAUAUUGGACAAUGGGCGAAAGCCUGAUCCAGCAAUGCCGCGUGAGUGAUGAAGGCCUUAGGGUUGUAAAGCUCUUUUACCCGGGAUGAUAAUGACAGUACCGGGAGAAUAAGCUCCGGCCAACUCCGUG